Astatotilapia calliptera (eastern happy) is the source of this 684-nucleotide long non-coding RNA. The record is from Ensembl. NCBI's taxonomy places the organism in Eukaryota, Metazoa, Chordata, Actinopteri, Cichliformes, Cichlidae.
GUUGGACUGAAGAGUUUUGAGUUUAAGGGUUAGCGUCGCAUGCCUUCAAACAAACAGCUGCCCAGAUGGAAAGUUAAACUGUCAGAUCUGUUUUAUAGCUGAAAUGCUAAGCUAACAUGAAAUUAUGUUUGAAGCUGAACAAAGCAACAAAACACACAACGUCACUAAUUCUUAUUCAUUUAUUUCCUUUCUAGAGUCCAGAUUCAUUAAGUUUUCAUUUUUCUGAACUCGGAUUGAAGCGACGGCUGUUAGCUUAACUAAGGUAAUGUAGGUGAACUGGAGAGAGUGAUCACAUCAGGAACUGUGUAAGUUUGCAAAAACAAUCAGCUCUGAAUUUUAUUUUGAUGCAGACUGAUCGGCUCUCUUUUCUGUGAAACGAGAAAUAUGUGGAAUCUCCUCCUGCGGGCAGCAUGAGAGCGUUCAAAUCACUGUUCUGAUCAGGGUUUCUUGGGUUUGCUUCCUGCUGUUCAGCAGAGCAGCUUGUUUCCCUACAGUUAUUCAAGUUUCAGAUCAAUUUGGUGAUGACUGGACUUCUGAUACUGGAGGGGUAGGGACUAGCAGCUUCGGAGGUGGAGGGGAUGGUGCUGGAGGCUUUUAUGGAUCCUCAUUUCUUGGUGGCGUUCCUUGGGUUACUGCUCCUGUAGGAGGAGCCCUUUCUCUCGAUUCUCAGAGAUGGCUGCCAUC